Molecule: unclassified non-coding RNA, 300 nt
Filed under: uncultured fungus
Lineage: Eukaryota; Fungi
Description: sequence contains 5.8S rRNA gene, ITS2
Rfam family: 5.8S ribosomal RNA (bases 1-71)
Source: RNAcentral
GUGAGUCAUCGAAUCUUUGAACGCACAUUGCGCUCUCUGGUAUUCCGGGGAGCAUGCUCGUUUCAGAAUCAUUAAACCCUCAAAAGCCCUCAAAUUCUUAUGGAUCUGCGGAUGCUUUUGGAUCUUGGACCUCCUUUUGCUGCAAAGCAAAUGGUCUUAAAUGAAGAUUGUGUUUUCAUCUUGCCCGCUUGGCAGAUGUCUCAAGUGCAACAGAUGUACUCCAUUUUGUUACACAUCUUGGGCUAUCUGACAGGAAGGUGAUGACGGAUACAAAUACCACCAUAUUCACAAGGAUCUGGG